This is a non-coding RNA of Labrus bergylta (ballan wrasse), 1051 nucleotides long. The record is from RefSeq and is a predicted model, not a curated record. NCBI's taxonomy places the organism in Eukaryota, Metazoa, Chordata, Actinopteri, Labriformes, Labridae.
UAUAUUACAGUCUAGGGCUUGCUGCUGAAAAGCCCGCUGGAUCCUCCACUGACCUGCUGUUCUUUCCUGCUUUCCUCUCGUGUUUUUUCCACAUUUAGAUUAAAAACAAAGCUCUCUCUCUCUUUCUCUCUCUCUCUCUCACUCCCAUCUCCCCUCCCUCCCUUCUUCUUCUUCUUCUUCUUCUUCUUCUUCUCCUCCUUCCUAUCCUUCUUCUUUUCUGCGGCUGCAGUCAAGGCAGAGACUUCAGCGUGUCAAAGAGAGGGUGAGGAGGAAAAACGCAGAGAGAGGAAGACUGUUUGGACGGAGCUGAGAGUGUGUUUACAUUCGUAUGUUUUGCUUUUGGACGGUGGUCGGGUGAAGGGGCACGAGGAGGAGGAGGAGGCGGAGGAAGACGAGGAGGAGAGCCUGCCCGGAUGAAAUUCUCUGUCAUGUGUGGACCUUGACUGAUCACAGGGUGAGGAGAGAGAGUGAGCGAGGGAGAGACACCACAGGAAAGACAAGAAAGUCGAUAGAGAAAGAAAGAGAGGAGGAAAAACUGAGACUGUGGAGAAGAAGGGAGAGGAGAAGAAGGGGGCAAAGUCUGCUGCUCCCUUUUUAUCAUGACGUUGUUAGAUAAACAAGGCAACAGAUUGAAAACUCAGAAGUUGUGUGUCAAUAGGAAUUCUCCCUCAGAAGAAAGUGAAGGAGGAGAAAGACUGUGAGGAGUAAACACUGCUGUGUUCAACCCAGCUAAGGAGCAGAGGCAGGACUUUGAGUGUGUGAGUGUGUGUGAGUGGGUGUGUAACCAGUGGAGGGCAGAGGAGUGGAGGGCCAGGGGACUAACCUGGCCAUCAAACGGACUGGCAGCCUCUCCUCUCCUGGGAUCAUGUACCCUCAGGGAAGGCAUCCGGUACCCUUGCAGCCCGGCCAGUCUUUUAAGUUCACAGUCCUGGAAACCCUGGACCGAAUCAAGGAGGAAUUCCAGUUCCUCCAGGCGCAAUAUCACAGCCUGAAACUGGAGUGUGAGAAGCUGGCGAGUGAGAAGACUGAGAUGCAGAGGCACUACAUCAUG